This 879-nucleotide long non-coding RNA is filed under the name Homo sapiens (human). RNAcentral describes it as "HSALNT0220442". The record is from RNAcentral. Lineage: Eukaryota; Metazoa; Chordata; Mammalia; Primates; Hominidae.
UCUGCCCUGUGAGGAUGCAGCAAGAAAACCCUCACCAGAUGCCAGUGCCUUGAUCUUGGACUUCCCAGCCCCCAGAGCUGACUAGAUCGCUAGCUGGCCCUUUGAUUUAACUCUUCAUCUACCAUAAUCUUUGAUGCUAAAAGCAGAAUGGACUGAGAGAUGCCUUGGACAUAAGUGAUUUCACAUCUGUAACUAUAUCCUGCAAACAUUUGUAGACACAUCUUGGGAAAGAAGCACUCAUGCUUGCAUCUGUUUCCAACAUCUGUGCAUUUAAGUCAGCAACAAAAGUCACCAGGCAUUUGAGCUUUCCCUGCUAUAAUGUUUCUGAUUUACCUUGACAGCGUGAGUAAUCCAAUCAAAGACAAUAUUCCUCUUGAUUUCAGUAAUGAGAGAGACUACACUUAUCUGAAACCUGUGUUACAUUCAUCUCACCAAUACAGUACUAAUGAAAAGGACAAAUAACUGAGUCUCUCUUGGUGGCCUGCAUGCAACUGCUUAAAUACAUAAGUGCAUAGCAACAAUAUGUGAAUAACAUAUAAAAAUAAAUAUGUUCAAGUGCAGCAGGGUGAGUGGGUUUUGUAGGGUCAGUGGCGUGAAUGGGGGUUAAUUUCUGUUCAGUCAGGUGAGGUACAAAUGCAUCAACUUUGCUGGAAAAUAGUUCCAAUUGUGGCUAAAUGGUCUAGUUUCCUGCAGGAUACAAGCAGCCUAUUAUUUAGUGUUUUAAAAGGCUUGUUCAAAUUUGACCAUUUGUAUGGGAAUCAAUACAACAGAGGAUGGGGACAAAUAUCAGAGGUCACACCAAGCACAUCAUCAAGGGCAGGUCCAAGUGCCCAUAAUUUCUCCAAUAAUCCAGGGGACAAAACCCCUUUUGGUCUGGUG